GCCGCUAUGCUCAGUGGCUAGAGCGUUGGUCUCGUAAACCAAAGGUCGCAAGUUCGAAUCUUGUUGGCGGCA
This 72-nucleotide transfer RNA is filed under the name Trichonephila inaurata madagascariensis. It matches the Rfam family "tRNA". Rfam says of the family: Transfer RNA (tRNA) molecules are approximately 80 nucleotides in length. Lineage: Eukaryota; Metazoa; Arthropoda; Arachnida; Araneae; Nephilidae. The record is from Rfam by way of RNAcentral.